Molecule: ribosomal RNA, 745 nt
Filed under: Escherichia coli
Lineage: Bacteria; Pseudomonadati; Pseudomonadota; Gammaproteobacteria; Enterobacterales; Enterobacteriaceae
Description: bacterial SSU rRNA
Rfam family: Bacterial small subunit ribosomal RNA
Source: RNAcentral
AUGCAGUCGAACGGUAACAGGAAGAGCUUGCUGCUUUGCUGACGAGUGGCGGACGGGUGAGUAAUGUCUGGGAAACUGCCUGAUGGAGGGGGAUAACUACUGGAAACGGUAGCUAAUACCGCAUAACGUCGCAAGACCAAAGAGGGGGACCUUCGGGCCUCUUGCCAUCGGAUGUGCCCAGAUGGGAUUAGCUAGUAGGUGGGGUAACGGCUCACCUAGGCGACGAUCCCUAGCUGGUCUGAGAGGAUGACCAGCCACACUGGAACUGAGACACGGUCCAGACUCCUACGGGAGGCAGCAGUGGGGAAUAUUGCACAAUGGGCGCAAGCCUGAUGCAGCCAUGCCGCGUGUAUGAAGAAGGCCUUCGGGUUGUAAAGUACUUUCAGCGGGGAGGAAGGGAGUAAAGUUAAUACCUUUGCUCAUUGACGUUACCCGCAGAAGAAGCACCGGCUAACUCCGUGCCAGCAGCCGCGGUAAUACGGAGGGUGCAAGCGUUAAUCGGAAUUACUGGGCGUAAAGCGCACGCAGGCGGUUUGUUAAGUCAGAUGUGAAAUCCCCGGGCUCAACCUGGGAACUGCAUCUGAUACUGGCAAGCUUGAGUCUCGUAGAGGGGGGUAGAAUUCCAGGUGUAGCGGUGAAAUGCGUAGAGAUCUGGAGGAAUACCGGUGGCGAAGGCGGCCCCCUGGACGAAGACUGACGCUCAGGUGCGAAAGCGUGGGGGAGCAAACAGGAUUAGAUACCCUGG